Molecule: ribosomal RNA, 433 nt
Filed under: uncultured bacterium
Lineage: Bacteria
Description: bacterial SSU rRNA
Rfam family: Bacterial small subunit ribosomal RNA
Source: RNAcentral
GUGGGGAAUAUUGCGCAAUGGGCGAAAGCCUGACGCAGCCACGCCGCGUGAGUGAUGAAGGCCUUCGGGUUGUAAAGCUCUGUCGGAGGGAAAGAAGGGGUAACCCUGACGGUACCUUCCAAGAAAGCACCGGCUAACUCUGUGCCAGCAGCCGCGGUAAUACAGAGGGUGCAAGCGUUGCUCGGAUUUACUGGGCGUAAAGCGUGCGCAGACGGCGAGGCAGGUCGGAUGUGAAAGCCCCGGGCUCAACCCGGGAAAUGCAUUCGAAACCAUCUUGCUCGAGUGUGGAAGAGGAGAGCAGAAUUCCCGGUGUAGAGGUGAAAUUCGUAGAUAUCGGGAGGAAUACCAGCGGCGAAGGCGGCUCUCUGGUCCAUUACUGACGUUCAGGCACGAAAGCGUGGGUAGCAAACAGGAUUAGAUACCCCAGUAGUCC